GGCCUUUUGAUUAUAAUAUAAGGUCUGGCCUGCUCUAUGAGGUAUUAAAUGGCCGCAGUAAUUUGACUGUGCUAAGGUAGCAUAAUCAUUAGUUUCUUAAUUAGGGGCUGGAAUGAAAGGUUUGAUGAGAGGAUAACUGUCUCUGGUUUUUUUCUAGAAUUUUAUUUUUAAGUGAGAAAGCUUAAAUUUUUUUGAAAGACGAGAAGACCCUAUAGAGUUUUAUAAGUUUUUUUUUAUCUAUUUAUGAAAAUUAUUAUAAUAAAGAAUUGGCUUAUUUGGUUGGGGUGAUUAUAAAAUUUAUUUAACUUUUAUUAUUUCAGUUCCACUAAUUAGUGCUUGUUUGAUCCGGUAAGUCCGAUUAUAAGAAUAAAUUACCUUAGGGAUAACAGCGUAAUCUUUUUUUAGAGUUCUAAUCGAGAAAAGGGGUUGCGA
This 432-nucleotide ribosomal RNA is filed under the name Clytra quadripunctata. RNAcentral describes it as "partial 16S large subunit ribosomal RNA". It matches the Rfam family "Bacterial large subunit ribosomal RNA", at positions 1819 to 2523 of the family's 2925-position model. The record is from RNAcentral. Lineage: Eukaryota; Metazoa; Arthropoda; Insecta; Coleoptera; Chrysomelidae.